This 463-nucleotide ribosomal RNA is filed under the name Vreelandella stevensii. RNAcentral describes it as "partial 16S ribosomal RNA". It matches the Rfam family "Bacterial small subunit ribosomal RNA", at positions 338 to 794 of the family's 1533-position model. Lineage: Bacteria; Pseudomonadati; Pseudomonadota; Gammaproteobacteria; Oceanospirillales; Halomonadaceae. The record is from RNAcentral.
CCUACGGGGCGCUGCAGUGGGGAAUAUUGGACAAUGGGCGAAAGCCUGAUCCAGCCAUGCCGCGUGUGUGAAGAAGGCCUUCGGGUUGUAAAGCACUUUCAGUGGGGAAGAAAGCCUUGGGGCUAAUACCCUCGAGGAAGGACAUCACCCACAGAAGAAGCACCGGCUAACUCCGUGCCAGCAGCCGCGGUAAUACGGAGGGUGCGAGCGUUAAUCGGAAUUACUGGGCGUAAAGCGCGCGUAGGCGGUCUGAUAAGCCGGUUGUGAAAGCCCCGGGCUCAACCUGGGAACGGCAUCCGGAACUGUCAGGCUAGAGUGCAGGAGAGGAAGGUAGAAUUCCCGGUGUAGCGGUGAAAUGCGUAGAGAUCGGGAGGAAUACCAGUGGCGAAGGCGGCCUUCUGGACUGACACUGACGCUGAGGUGCGAAAGCGUGGGUAGCAAACAGGAUUAGAUCCCUGGUAGU